UGGGGAAUAUUGCACAAUGGAGGGAACUCUGAUGCAGCGACGCCGCGUGAACGAAGAAGGCUUUCGAGUCGUAAAGUUCUUUUAUAUGGGAAGAUAAUGACGGUACCAUAAGAAAAAGCCCCGGCUAACAACGUGCCAGCAGCCGCGGUAAUACGUAGGGGGCUAGCGUUGUCCGGAAUCACUGGGCGUAAAGGGUUCGCAGGCGGAAAUGCAAGUCAGGUGUAAAAGGCAGUAGCUUAACUACUGUAAGCAUUUGAAACUGCAUAUCUUGAGAAGAGUAGAGGUAAGUGGAAUUUUUAGUGUAGCGGUGAAAUGCGUAGAUAUUAAAAAGAAUACCGGUGGCGAAGGCGACUUACUGGGCUCAUUCUGACGCUGAGGAACGAAAGCGUGGGUAGCAAACAGG
This 403-nucleotide ribosomal RNA is filed under the name Fusobacteriota bacterium. Its description in RNAcentral is "Fusobacteria bacterium partial 16S ribosomal RNA". It matches the Rfam family "Bacterial small subunit ribosomal RNA", at positions 355 to 776 of the family's 1533-position model. Lineage: Bacteria; Fusobacteriati; Fusobacteriota. The record is from RNAcentral.